CGCUACGUAGAGCAAUUGGUUAGCUCGUCAGGCUCAACACCUUAAGGUUACAGGUGCAAAUCCUGUCUCCGCAA
This 74-nucleotide transfer RNA is filed under the name Ficus carica (common fig). Its description in RNAcentral is "tRNA-Leu". It matches the Rfam family "tRNA". Rfam says of the family: Transfer RNA (tRNA) molecules are approximately 80 nucleotides in length. Their secondary structure includes four short double-helical elements and three loops (D, anti-codon, and T loops). Lineage: Eukaryota; Viridiplantae; Streptophyta; Magnoliopsida; Rosales; Moraceae. RNAcentral also lists the same sequence under 3 other names. The record is from RNAcentral.